Molecule: long non-coding RNA, 1223 nt
Filed under: Malus domestica (apple)
Lineage: Eukaryota; Viridiplantae; Streptophyta; Magnoliopsida; Rosales; Rosaceae
Description: long non-coding RNA (MDOM_LNC005960)
Source: RNAcentral
CUUAGAUUUGAUCCAAGGAAAGGUAACACUUUAGAACAGUUUCCUUGAAAGAUAUCAAGGAAAGAAGCAUCAUAUGAUAAUGGAUUUCUCCAUUAAGAGAAGAACGAACUCGAAAUAAGAUUUAGUUCGUUGGAUGUUAUCAAUUGCCCAUAUAUAGGAUAUAUAUACUUCUAAGACAAUAUGAUUGUCAAUUAGAAGAUCUUCCAAAAUUUUCAUGACUCCAUAGGAUAUAGUUGGAAAGAAAGACAAAUCUUAAUCAAUAUUUGUUUAAAGAAUUAUCUUGUGGGUAUCCUUAAAUUAACAUUUGGAUAUCACUUUUAUAAACCAACUAACAAAUGUUGUUUGUUGGGUAGUUCAUUGUAAUCCUACAAUAUGAUUUGCCUAACGCAAAUGAACGAGGGAUAGAACUCAAAGAAUGGGUUAUUUGAGAAACAAGAUAGUGAUCAACCAAUAUAACAACCUAGUUCCUAUACCACAAGCUCCAAGGUAGUCAAGAAGGAUUUAUAAACCAUCUCAGUUGAAUGGUUUGAACUUUAUGACUAUGUCAUAGAGUUACACCUCUUAAUUUGAAAGAAAUAAGAAUGAAAAUCCUUAUGACUACAUUGAAUGUAUAUACGACAUAUACUCAAGGAAAUGGUAAAGUACCAUUUGACCCGAAAUAAUGAAACCUUUAUAGCUAAUUGGUAGCUUAAGGUGACUACAAUUAAAGAGAUUGGUUGACUUGGAAGAAACCAUCUUUGUCGUAGUCUUGGUUUCAAUUAAUUCAAAGAUUGCUAGCUACAACUAAAUGGUGAUUCAAUGUUUAGACAUAAUAUGAGUUUCCGAAACCAUUAUUAAGAUAGUCUUGAUAAUAUAUGUCUAAAACUAUGAAUCACAAGACAUGUAAGUUGUAGAGAUCCAUCCAUCAUGGAUCUUAGCAAGCUAGUGGGAGCUAUAAACGUCUUAUGAGAGAAAGAUCAAAUCGUUUGAUUUCUCAUAAAGAUGUAAAUGAAUCCUUUGUUUACUACGUUUACAAAAGAUUAGUGGGAGUUAAUCAUGUUCCUAAAAUUGAAUAUAUAUAUAUAUUGUUGGAAAUGUGCCCUAAAGCCAAUCAUGUGAUGAUACUUUACGGACAUUUCACAUGUUAAACUAAUCUAGUUUUACAUAUAAAAGGCAUACAUUAUUGUUUGAGCCGUCUCAUAUAAAUGUUAUAUGCUUAAACGAUAAAGUCCAAGGAAUAUGUG